UAUUGAUACAUUUUGGUUCAUAUUCGCUGAAAUAAACAUUUUUGAAAACAAAAUGUUUUACCCCCGAAGAAAAAGGUAACACAUUAUACCCCGAACUCCCCAUAACGGCCACCUCUAGCUACUACGACUACUUUACUGCACGACUGUUUUCUUUUUUUUUUUUGUACUCUUCCUCGCAUUGCCCAGCCACUUAGCACGACUAGCCAUGCUAAUCUCGUACCUCGAGUCUUCGUUCCUUACUGCAUUUCCUAUUUCUGAGUGGCUGUGCCCUCUCUAUGGUGUCUGGCUGCAAAUGUUAAAUAUGGAAUCUUUUUUGUUGUUGUUUUUUCAUAUGUGAUUCUAAACAGCACAAAAUAAAAGUUGCUGCUGUCGUGAUGGGGAUUUGAGGUAGGAGUACCAAAGUUUUUAAAAGUUUCGUUCCGUUUUUGGCGGGUACAGAGCAGUAUACCUCUGGAGAAACCCAGACAUUGCGAAGAAAAUGUUUGGGAAAAUUUUCCAAGCCGUUUGAUUAAUUCAAGGAACAAUUUCACGACAACGGUUUGUUAUUCGUCGUUGAUCCCGUUCUGUUUAUACUUUAUAUCGGCCAUGAGAAUAGCCCCCAGGUCCCCCGGAGGCUCUAGCACCUUCGCACACCUGCCUGAACAACGUAAGGAGUCAGAGAAAUGGCUAUGCAGAGUGUCUGCUUUUCGACUUCAAAUAACCCGAGUUGGCGAAGAAAUUGUCAUUGGUAUCAACGCUAAAGAGCUUGCAUUGGGGACCGAAAACUGUAGAAACAUUUGGUGAACUGAUGCAGAGCUCUUUGAAUUUCAAGUGCGUGCCACAAUAAUGGUGAAGCAUUGCAGACCAAUUUAUAAUCAUUUCCUUGACAUAAUUUUACAACUUCCAUGGCAAAGUCAAAGGAGAGGAUCCAUGUAAGGCAGGAAGCUCGUGGUAUAACGUGUUGUGAGUGGUUACAAUUUAAGGAAAAUUUCUGCCGUAAGAAAGAUGCCUUGAAAGUCAAGAAAUGAUGUAGAUCAAUGCAGCCAAAUAAGUAUACAAUCCCAGAGAAUCAAGGUGGAACCUAUUGAGCUAAGGGUGGUGAGACAAACGAAUGACAGAGAAUUACAAGAUUUAAAGCUUAUGAUGUUUUUACAAGAAUGGUGAUAUCAGGUACAAAACAGAGAAGAACCAAUAAAAGAUGUGCUGAGGCUCAAGAGGAAAAAAGAAUCAAAUUGUGACAUUGGAUCCUUAUUGGGCUGCCGUCUCAAGUGUACAUGCAGUGACAUUAACAUGGAGAAAGAAGCAAAGGAAAGCUAAGGACUUCGUUUAGAUGUUUCUUCAGUGGAUCGCGUUUUAAAAGUAAGGUAGAUUUACAAGACAAAGUUCAUCUCGAUUGCGUUUCUUGCGAAACAUUGUUAGGGCGGAGCUCGUAUUAGCGAUUUCACAACACAAUACUCAAGAGUGAAAAGAAGACAUUGGAAUUACUGUCAAAUUGUCUAGUAUAUGCCAGAUUGCCUCGUAUCUUGCUAGUUUCUGAGGAAACCGUGAAUUGUAUUUCAAGUUUGCAUCUUUAAAAUUAAGGUAGAAUACAAGCUUUACCUGUAAUAGCUUUUGCAACCCGAAUUUUCAACCUGGAAGUCUCGCUAUUAAACUCGUUAAAAUUACUGUCUAAUUGUCUAGUGUGAAUUUCACAUUUUUACUGAAAACUUUGUAGUUUUCGAUGACACACUCAAUUGAUGAAAAGGGUGCGCUUUUAAAGGGCCAAGAAAAAUAUCGUAAAGAAACUAAGUCCUCUAGUGGAAAUAAUGUCCUUAGAAAAAAAAGGUCUGCAAUUUCAAACGGUGUCUAGUUUUGAGUCGAACUUAUGCAAAGUCUUUUGGCGUAAAAAAUCUUGCACUAUCAGUACGUAAGAUUUUUCCCAUCAAAAGUCAAAGUAUAUGCUUGAUUUCUGGCUUGACUCUGUUCAAAAGCGCAGAAUUUUUUUUUUUUUGGCAACCCUACAUAGUAAAAAAAUAGU
Molecule: long non-coding RNA, 1996 nt
Organism: Orbicella faveolata
Lineage: Eukaryota; Metazoa; Cnidaria; Anthozoa; Scleractinia; Merulinidae
Source: RefSeq, a predicted model, not a curated record